Molecule: ribosomal RNA, 460 nt
Filed under: uncultured bacterium
Lineage: Bacteria
Description: partial 16S ribosomal RNA
Rfam family: Bacterial small subunit ribosomal RNA
Source: RNAcentral
CCUACGGGUGGCAGCAGUGAGGAAUAUUGGUCAAUGGGCUUACGCCUGAACCAGCCAAGUCGCGUGAGGGAAGACUGCCCUAUGGGUUGUAAACCUCUUUUGUCAGGGAGCAACGCCGGCUACGUGUAGCCGGACUGAGAGUACCUGAAGAAAAAGCAUCGGCUAACCCCGUGCCAGCAGCCGCGGUAAUACGGGGGUUGCGAUCGUUAUCCGGAUUUUUUGGGUUAACAGGGUGCGUAGGCGGCAGGUCAAGUCAGCGGUAAAAUCGCGGGGCUCAACCUCGCUCCGCCGUUGAAACUGGCGUUCUUGAGUGGGCGAGAAGUAUGCGGAAUGCGGGGUGUAGCGGUGAAAUGCAUAGAUAUCACGCAGAACUCCGAUUGCGAAGGCAGCAUGCCGGCGCCCAACUGACGCUGAGGCACGAAAGCGUGGGUAUCGAACAGGAUUAGAUACCCUAGUAGUC